AAUUCAAAGAGUUUGAUCCUGGCUCAGGACGAACGCUGGCGGCGCGCCUAACACAUGCAAGUCGAACGGGGGACGGCAAAACACUGUGUGUUUUGCAAUUAACAAUUAACAAUGAACAAUGUACAAUUAUGGAGUUCGCUGCGCGAACGGAUUUUAGAAAUCGUCGCGAAGCGACACCAAAAUUGUCAAUUGUAAAUUGUCAAUUGUAAAUUGUGAGGUAAAACACAGAGUGUUUUGCCGAACCUAGUGGCGAACGGGUGAGUAACACGUGAGCAACCUGCCUCUAAGUGGGGGACAACUCCGAGAAAUCGGGGCUAAUACCGCAUGAUACAUUCUGAGGGCAUCCUCGGAAUGUCAAAGAUUUAUCGCUUAGAGAUGGGCUCGCGUCCAAUUAGCUUGUUGGUGAGGUAACUGCUCACCAAGGCGACGAUUGGUAGCCGGACUGAGAGGUUGAACGGCCACAUUGGGACUGAGACACGGCCCAGACUCCUACGGGAGGCAGCAGUGGGGGAUAUUG
Molecule: ribosomal RNA, 517 nt
Filed under: Oscillospiraceae bacterium
Lineage: Bacteria; Bacillati; Bacillota; Clostridia; Eubacteriales; Oscillospiraceae
Description: bacterial SSU rRNA
Rfam family: Bacterial small subunit ribosomal RNA
Source: RNAcentral